This 253-nucleotide ribosomal RNA is filed under the name uncultured bacterium. Its description in RNAcentral is "partial 16S ribosomal RNA". It matches the Rfam family "Bacterial small subunit ribosomal RNA", at positions 524 to 776 of the family's 1533-position model. The record is from RNAcentral.
UACAGAGGAGCCAAGCGUUGUCCGGAUUGACUGGGCGUAAAGCGCACGCAGGCGGUGGUGCGCGUGGGGUGUGAAAUCUGGCCGCUUAACGGCCAGGCGCCAUCCCAUACGGCACGACUGGAGGGCUGCAGAGGUCGAUGGAAUUGCCGGUGUAGUGGUGAAAUGCGUAGAGAUCAUGAGGAAGACCAGUGGCGAAGGCGGGUCUCUGGACAGUUCCUGACACUGAGGCACGAAGGCCAGGGGAGCAAACGGG